RNAcentral lists this ribosomal RNA (602 nucleotides) under Rastrococcus invadens. RNAcentral's name for it is "bacterial SSU rRNA". It matches the Rfam family "Eukaryotic small subunit ribosomal RNA", at positions 46 to 540 of the family's 1831-position model. The record is from RNAcentral. Lineage: Eukaryota; Metazoa; Arthropoda; Insecta; Hemiptera; Pseudococcidae.
AAGCCAUGCAUGUCUCAGUGCAAGCCGUCUAGCACGGUGAAACCGCGAAAGGCUCAUUAAAUCAGUUAUGGUUCCUUAGAUCGUACCCACGUUACUUGGAUAACUGUGGCAAUUCUAGAGCUAAUACAUGCCGACAGAGUUCCGACCAACCGGGCAGAUUGGCGGCGACCUCGCGUCGUCGUUGCUGCGCGAUUCGGAAGGAACGCUUUUAUUAGAUCAAAACCGGCCAAACGGUCGCGUAGCGCGAGAACGGCCUCCGCGUCGUCUUGCCGCGCGACCGUAAGCGGCCCGCGCAAAGAUUUGGUGACUCUGAAUAACUUCGAGCUGAUCGCACGGUCUGUGUACCGGCGACGUAUCUUUCAAAUGUCUGCCUUAUCAACUGUCGACGGUAGGUUCGACGCCUACCGUGGUGGUAACGGGUAACGGGGAAUCAGGGUUCGAUUCCGGAGAGGGAGCCUGAGAAACGGCUACCACAUCCAAGGAAGGCAGCAGGCGCGCAAAUUACCCACUCCCAGCUCGGGGAGGUAGUGACGAAAAAUACCGAUACGGGACUCUUUUGAGGCCCCGUAAUCGGAAUGAGUACACUUUAAAACCUUGGUCGC